AUUAUAAGAAAUUCAAGAAAUCACAAACGCAAAACGAUCUAAAUCAGGCGGCAAGCGGAAGCAGCAAAUAGCGAAAUCGUGAAUCCAGAAAUGAAAUCAGAUCGCAAAAUCUGACACGGAAACGCGAGCGUGACGUGAAAUCAGAUCGCAAAAUCCAGAAACGAAAUCGUGAAUCCCUAAAUCGCGAGCGUGACGUGAACGGAAACGAAACGCGGAAAGAAUCGCGGAAGAAACACGAAAAGCAGAUGCGGAAGAAAUCGCAAGAUCUGAAAUCGAUUGACG
This 282-nucleotide long non-coding RNA is filed under the name Zostera marina. Its description in RNAcentral is "long non-coding RNA (ZMAR_LNC001028)". Lineage: Eukaryota; Viridiplantae; Streptophyta; Magnoliopsida; Alismatales; Zosteraceae. The record is from RNAcentral.